ACUCCGGAGAGGGAGCCUUAGAAACGGCUACCAUGUCUAAGGACAGCAGCAGGCGCGCAACUUAUCCACUGUUCAUUGAACGAGAUAGUGACGAGAAAUAACAAGCCCGUUCUCUUUGAGGUCGGGCAUUGGAAUGGAUGGAAUCUAAACAGUUCCAUGAGUAUCAACGAGAGGGCAAGUCUGGUGCCAGCAGCCGCGGUAAUUCCAGCUCUCGUAAUGUAUAGAAUUAUUGUUGCGGUUAAAAAGUUCGUAGUUGGAUUUUCUACCGUUCGGCGGUUGGGUUUAACGACUCAGACUGUCGGCGGUUUUUGCGCUAUGACUGGCUUGCUAGUCUUAGUGCGGAUUACUUUGAACGGCUUAAGUGCUCAAGGCGAGUCUUCGGACUGAAUACCGGUGCAUGGAAUAAUGGAACAAGGUCACGGCCGAGUUUUAUUGGUUUUGUCGGCUGAGACAAUGGUUAACAGGAACAGCUGGGGGCACUCGUAUCGCUGCGCGAGAGGUGAAAUUCGAGGACCGCAGCGAGACGCCCUAAAGCGAAGGCAUUUGCCAAGAGUGUUUUCAUUAAUCAAGAACGAAAGUCAGAGGUUCGAAGGCGAUUAGAUACCGCCCUAGUUUUGACCGUAAACGAUGCCAACUAUCAAUCCGCCAGUGGCUUUUAGUCAUUGGCGGGCGGAUCGACGGAAACGAAAGUUUUUCGGUUCCGGGGGAAGUAUGGUUGCAAAGCUGAAACUUAAAGGAAUUGACGGAAGGGCACCACCAGGGGUGGAGCUUGCGGCUUAAUUUGACCCAACACGGGAAACCUCACCCGGCCAGUACAUCAUAAGGAUUGACAGAUUGAAAGCUCUCUCAUGAUUUGAUGAAUGGUGGUGCAUGGCCGUUCUUAGUUCGUGGCGUGGGUCGUCUGCUUAAUUGCGAUAACGAGCGAGACUCCGACUGCUAAAUACUGUCUGGAUAAUUUCGUCCUUCACAGUUCUUAGCUGGAUUCGAGACUCCAAGUCUCAAGAAAUGGAGCAAUAACAGGUCUGUGAUGCCCUUAGAUGUUCGGGGCCGCACGCGUGCUACAAUGAUGGUAACAGCGUGAUUGUCCUCGCUCGACAGAGCUUGGCAAACAGUUGAGAUAUUAUUAUGGCUGGAAUUGAGUGUUGAAAUUUUCUCUCAUGAACGAGGAAUUCCAAGUAAAUGCGCGUCAUCAACGUGCAUUGAUUACGUCCCUGCCCUUUGUACACACCGCCCGUCGCUACCCGGGACUGAGUUGUUUCGAGAAAUCUACGGACCGAUUGUGCGUUGGCAACAACUCACUGUUGGAAAGUAAAUUAAUCGCAAUGGCUUGAACCGGGUAAAAGUCGUAACAAGGUAUCAGUAGGUGAACCUGCUGAUG
RNAcentral lists this ribosomal RNA (1378 nucleotides) under metagenome. RNAcentral describes it as "SSU rRNA". It matches the Rfam family "Eukaryotic small subunit ribosomal RNA", at positions 380 to 1823 of the family's 1831-position model. The record is from RNAcentral.